CUGGCGGCGUGCUUAACACAUGCAAGUCGAACGGUAAGGCCCUUCGGGGUACACGAGUGGCGAACGGGUGAGUAACACGUGGGUGAUCUGCCCUGCACUUUGGGAUAAGCCUGGGAAACUGGGUCUAAUACCGAAUAGGACCAUGGACUUCACGGUUUGUGGUGGAAAGCUUUUGCGGUGUGGGAUGGGCCCGCGGCCUAUCAGCUUGUUGGUGGGGUAAUGGCCUACCAAGGCGACGACGGGUAGCCGGCCUGAGAGGGUGACCGGCCACACUGGGACUGAGAUACGGCCCAGACUCCUACGGGAGGCAGCAGUGGGGAAUAUUGCACAAUGGGCGCAAGCCUGAUGCAGCGACGCCGCGUGAGGGAUGACGGCCUUCGGGUUGUAAACCUCUUUCAGCACAGACGAAGCGCAAGUGACGGUAUGUGCAGAAGAAGGACCGGCCAACUACGUG
Molecule: ribosomal RNA, 454 nt
Filed under: uncultured bacterium
Lineage: Bacteria
Description: bacterial SSU rRNA
Rfam family: Bacterial small subunit ribosomal RNA
Source: RNAcentral